UCCCCAGGGUGUGGUAUAAGACUUGACCUUUAGAAGCUCUCCAUAAAUGUUUAAUUAUUGAAUUAAAUCUCUGUUGGGUUCAGGGUUUGCAACUUGAAUAAGCAAAUAGUAACUCUGGGAAGGCAUUAUGAAUAAUAGAGAGCCAAAUUAAAUUUAAAGAAUAAUUCAGCUAAUUAAAUAUUUGGUUCCCUUAGGUUUUCUAAACACUGAAGGGUUUCAAUAGACACAGUACAAUCAAAAUGAUCCAUUUUUCACCUAAGCGAAAUAUGCCUUCAUUCAAUAUAGUGCUGUUCUUACACAGAACGGACCCCUUAGUUGUUGGAUGUCAAAUUAGUUUCAGGACAUUCUUGUAGUCAAGCAUAAAAGCAGGCUACGACAGUGGAGUCUGUGUACAAAUUCCUCUUGAAUUAAUUUCUGCCACCCCUGAUUAAAAUGCCGGCUCCUAGAGGGUCAGGUGCCAUAGUUCUGUACUUCGCUUUACUGCUGGCCUGCUUGGCCCCUGCCACAGUAAAUUCUGCAGUGGUUGUGUAGGAAUUGCAGGUUACAGUUGCUACGGUUACCGUCUUCCAGCCAGGUCGCCAUCAUUACUCAUCCAGCCAGCUUCCGUGAUAGCUACCGCUGGUUUCUGUGACGGAGGCUGUUGAAGAGCCUCGCGCGCUGAGGAUGAAAGUUCUUCAGGAGGUGGCGCGUCUGUGUUACAACUCUCAGGGAAACACUGUGUGCAUUGUGUAGUGAUACUUCAGCAGGGGGAAAGAUUAACUCUUUAUCUGUGAGAACAAAGAACCAGGCUUCUCCAAGCAUCCGCAUUGCAGUUAGACUAAAGUGGCAUUGUUUUCUACGCUACCUGUUAUCCAUAACCAAGUUCACUGCCACCACUGAGUUAUUUAUGGAGGAUAUCCUUAAAUAUUUUGACAAAUUGUGAUAUAAGAAAUCUUUGGAGAGAAGUUACAACAUGAACUAAAUCCUAGAGAAGGACAGAAUGAAAAAGAAACAGACCUGACUGUAAUGUCAGCCCCAGUCUGGAGGAGGCCUCUGUGGCACCGGUGAAAUGUUGGGAGAACAUCUGCAUCUCUUGAAGUGACCCCGAGUGAAAGUUUAUGGCUGAGUAUGGUGACUUGAUUUCAGUGUUUCAGAAAAAGAGAGGGGAAACUUAAAGGAGAAAUAAAUACAUCUGGAAAGAGAAUGGGAAAAGAUAGCUUUGCCCUGUCAUGAUAGGUUUCUUCUACUAGUGAGAGAUGAAAGCUUGGAGCCUGUGAAUAGCUGAGAACAGCACUGAAAAAGGUUGAUCGCUUCCCCCCAACAGUUCCAAUUGAUUCAAAAAAGCCUAAUUUAAAGUUCUGUUUGUUCUAUGUCUUAAACCAUCAGAAUUCUCUUUUAGGGCCAGAGGAAUGCUCCGGAGGAAAAAGAAUCCAAGGAUAAAAAGUCAUUGCAAGCCAACAAUUGUUCCUAAUCCUCACAAAAUGCUGGAGAAAUUAAAUUUAUUCUUUAUUGCUCAAAGUGUUACCUAGGUCACUGGGCGAUGGGAAAAUUGGACUGGAAGUCGAGUAGGCGC
Molecule: long non-coding RNA, 1552 nt
Organism: Fukomys damarensis (Damara mole-rat)
Lineage: Eukaryota; Metazoa; Chordata; Mammalia; Rodentia; Bathyergidae
Source: Ensembl